GGGGCUUGGCCCUUUAUAGACCUACGAUGUAAUAAUACCCUAACCACAUACCCACCAUACGACUGGAAUCACACAUACACUGCCACAAGAGGUCUGCAGUGAAGGUCCCAAAGUCCCAGACAACGGAGUCUCUCUCUGUCGCCCAGGGUAGAGUGCAGUGGUGCAAUCCUGGCUCACUGCAACCUCUGCCUCCCAGGUUCAAGUGAUUCUCCUGCCUCAGCUUCCCAAGUAGCUGGGACUACAGGCGUGUGCCACCACGACCAGCAAAAUCAUAGAAGGAAACUCUAUGGACAAUUUCAGAUGGAGAAGAAGAAAGGACUGGAAGUUCAAUUUGGCCAUGACAAUUAGACUUGAAGAAGCUGAGUGAGAAGGCCAUGCAGAUAUCUUGGAGAAGUGCAUUCCAGGCAGAGGAAAAGCCAGUGCAGAGACACUGAAGCAGGGCAUGACUGAUGUGUAUAAGGAGCAUCAUAUACAUGAUCAUCUACAGUCCACUGAGGAGAAUAGCAGACGAGAGGCCAGGUGCAGUGCAUGUAAUCCCAGCACUUUGGGAGACUGAGAUGGGAAGAUCGCUUGAGGCCAGGAGUGCAAGACCAGCCUGGGCAACACAGCAAGACCUUGAUUCUACUAAAAAAAAAAAAGGAUCCUUCAACUUCAACAAUAAUAACACAAGGGAAGUGAAGAAAAACACUUUCUAAGGAAAUCUCUCUCUGAGCUACCAUCCUGCUAGGGAGAGCCUGAAAGCAGAAUGCUGACUUGACUAGCUCUGGUCAAUGAAAGAAAUCACCAGUGGAAAGGCUACCAGGGGGCUUUCUCAAAAGAGAGGGACAGUAAACUGCAAGAUGAACAACUCAAUGCCAUCCAGGUCUGGAUGAGAAAGAACAGUCG
RNAcentral lists this long non-coding RNA (885 nucleotides) under Homo sapiens (human). RNAcentral's name for it is "SRD5A3 antisense RNA 1". The record is from RNAcentral. Lineage: Eukaryota; Metazoa; Chordata; Mammalia; Primates; Hominidae.